Non-coding RNA from Carica papaya (papaya), 192 nucleotides. Lineage: Eukaryota; Viridiplantae; Streptophyta; Magnoliopsida; Brassicales; Caricaceae. The record is from RefSeq and is a predicted model, not a curated record.
UCAGCGUGUGGCAUGUCUGUUAAGAAAAGUUGUGCAGGAGAUUGAACGACGCAUAUCAACUCAAGCUGAACACUUAAGAACUCAAAACAAUCUUUUUAAGGCUCGGGAGGAGAAAUACCAAUCAAGAAUCAGAGUAUUGGAGGCCCUUGCAUCUGGAACUUAUGAAGAGACAGAGAUAGGUUGGGAUAAGUU